RNAcentral lists this ribosomal RNA (550 nucleotides) under uncultured bacterium. Its description in RNAcentral is "partial 16S ribosomal RNA". It matches the Rfam family "Bacterial small subunit ribosomal RNA", at positions 355 to 895 of the family's 1533-position model. The record is from RNAcentral.
UGGGGAAUAUUGGACAAUGGGCGCAAGCCUGAUCCAGCAAUGCCGCGUGUGUGAAGAAGGCCUUCGGGUUGUAAAGCACUUUUAUCAGGAGCGAAACGCUGUCGGCUAAUACCCGGCGGAACUGACGGUACCUGAGGAAUAAGCACCGGCUAACUUCGUGCCAGCAGCCGCGGUAAUACGAAGGGUGCAAGCGUUAAUCGGAAUUACUGGGCGUAAAGCGUGCGUAGGCGGUUUCUUAAGUCUGCUGUGAAAUCCCCGGGCUCAACCUGGGAAUGGCAGUGGAUACUGGGAGGCUAGAGUGUGUCAGAGGGUGGUGGAAUUCCCGGUGUAGCGGUGAAAUGCGUAGAGAUCGGGAGGAACAUCAGUGGCGAAGGCGGCCACCUGGGACAACACUGACGCUGAGGCACGAAAGCGUGGGGAGCAAACAGGAUUAGAUACCCUGGUAGUCCACGCCCUAAAGCGAUGCGAACUGGAUGUUGGUCUCAACUCGGAGAUCAGUGUCGAAGCUAACGCGUUAAGUUCGCCGCCUGGGGAGUACGGUCGCAAGACU